UCGGGAAUUUUGGGCAAUGGGCGAAAGCCUGACCCAGCAACGCCGCGUGAAGGAUGAAAUCCUUCGGGAUGUAAACUUCGCAAGAACAGGAAGAAUAAGCCGGUGUUAAUAUCAUCGGUGAUGACGGUACUGUUUGUAAGCUCCGGCUAACUCCGUGCCAGCAGCCGCGGUAAUACGGGGGGAGCAAGCGUUGUUCGGAUUUACUGGGCGUAAAGGGCGCGUAGGCGGCCACCGCAAGUCAGUUGUGAAAUCUCUGGGCUUAACCCAGAAAGGUCAACUGAUACUGCGGGGCUAGAGUGCAGAAGGGGCAACUGGAAUUCUCGGUGUAGCGGUGAAAUGCGUAGAUAUCGAGAGGAACACCUGCGGCGAAGGCGGGUUGCUGGGCUGACACUGACGCUGAGGCGCGAAAGCUAGGGGAGCGAACGGG
RNAcentral lists this ribosomal RNA (427 nucleotides) under uncultured bacterium. Its description in RNAcentral is "bacterial SSU rRNA". It matches the Rfam family "Bacterial small subunit ribosomal RNA", at positions 355 to 776 of the family's 1533-position model. The record is from RNAcentral.